UAAGAGCAUGCGUACAUGGAUGAUACAAUGUGAUACACCGUAGGGCGUUGGUUUACGAGAACAUUGAAUUAUACUAUAAACUCGUUAUCUAUUGUUCCUUUCUAGAUUAGUUCAAUUCUCUACUAUUGUGACAUUGAAUCAAAUUGACGUGAGAGAUUUGAAGAUAGAAGUUUGCUUACUCUAACUUAGAUAGUUGACGUAUAUGAUUGUCUUUUGAAUUCAAUCUUUAUGAAUUUAUUGUUCAGAUAAUGAUUUCAAGUUAGAGUGGUUAAAUAAUACUAAUUGAAUCAUAGACUAUAGUACCGAAACAUCAAAGGAUUCUUAGAAAUUUUUUUGAUUGAAUUGAAGUAAGUAAUCUGGUGACUGCUGAAAUCAUUAGUCUCCCACGCUAAUGCCAUUUCCCGCUUAUGUGAAUUUUUCCGGUGACUUCAAAUAACAACAACAUUGACCUGGUCAGAGGAUCCAUUGAAUGCAUGUGGUUAGACCAGAUUGUGGUUGCCUAUUAUUACACAAGGCUACCAGAUUUCACUGCAUUCUGAUUAUAUAAUCAUGUACUCAAUAUGACACCAUGUAAACUACAUAAUUAACAUCGAGCGAACUUUAUAACGGUGAAGAUUUUUUUAACUUCUAAAUGAUACGAGCAACACUUGGAGUAGAAACAAAACUCAAUAGAUGGUGGCCUUCAGUAGACUUCCUCGUCCUUCCUAUGAAUAUCCUCGUUCCUUCUGUCAAGAAUCUGCUCCAUGUGUCUUACCCGUAUUUGCUGAAUUCCCAAUGUUGACCAGAAAUCGUCAUGGACCCAAACAUAGAAAAUUUAAACAUUCCCUCAUAAUUUCACAGUUUAAGUAUAAUUAUAAACCAUCUGUGCCUGCUUCUUGGUAUUUUUGUUUCUACA
Molecule: long non-coding RNA, 895 nt
Organism: Chelonus insularis
Lineage: Eukaryota; Metazoa; Arthropoda; Insecta; Hymenoptera; Braconidae
Exons: 4
Source: RefSeq, a predicted model, not a curated record